ACUCUAAGCGGUGAUCACUCGGCUCAUGGUCGAUGAAGAACGCAGCAAACUGUGCGUCAUCGUGUGAACUGCAGGACACAUGAACAUCGACAUUUUGAACGCAUAUCGCAGUCCAUGCUUAUGUACUUAAUUAAUUUUAAAGUGCUGCUUGGACUACAUAUGGUUGAGGGUUGUAAGACUAUGCAAAAUAAGUUGUUCAUAAAUUUCAUUUCAUGAUUUUUAUAAGCACAUGGUAUAUUAUUGGGUAUAAAUAAUUUUAAUGUUAAUUCAUAAUAUUAAAAAUUAUAUGAAAAACAUUUUCUCACAUUGUUGUAAAUAUUUGAAUGUGAAAACGAAGAGAAUAUUCUUUUUUUUUAAAUCAAUAAUUACUGAGAAAUGUCUAGCAUAAAAAAUGUGAAAUAUUUUCAUCUAGAAUUGUCUCUUAUUAAUGAUGCAAAAAAUCGAAAAAUGUUGCUAAUGUUAUUAUUCUCGUUUGGUUUGUUAAAAAAUAUAACAAAUUUAAAUAUAUAAUGUUUCUCAUAUAAAAGAAUUAAUGCUAAUAAAUGUUUUAUACAACCUCAACUCAAUGGGACCCCCUGAAUUUAAGCAUAUUAAUAGGGGAGGAAAAGAAACUAACAAGGAUUUUUAGUAGCGGCGAGCGAAAGAAAUCAGUUCAGCACUAAGUCACUUGUCUAUAUGGCAAAUGUGAGAUGCAGUGUAUGGAGCGUCAAUAUUCUAGUAUGAGAAAUUAACGAUUUAAGUCCUUCUUAAAUGAGGCCAUUUACCCAUAGAGGGUGCCAGGCCCGUAUAACGUUAAUGAUUACUAGAUGAUGUUUCCAAAGAGUCGUGUUGCUUGAUAGUGCAGCACUAAGUGGGUGGUAAACUCCAUCUAAAACUAAAUAUAACCAUGAGACCGAUAGUAAACAAGUACCGUGAGGGAAAGUUGAAAAGAACUCUGAAUAGAGAGUUAAACAGUACGUGAAACUGCUUAGAGGUUAAGCCCGAUGAACCUGAAUAUCCGUUAUGGAAAAUUCAUCAUUAGACUUGUAGUAUUUAAACAAUAUUAUGAUAAUAGUGUGCAUUUUUUCCAUAUAAGGACAUUGUAAUAUUAACAUAACUAAAUUAUCAUAAAAUAUGGCUUAUAGUUUAUUCAAAUUAUUAUGCUUGCAUUUUAACAUAGAAUAAAUGUCAUUAAUUUGAUAAAGUGCUGAUAGAUUUAUAUGACUACAGUGCGUUAAUUUUUCGGAAUUAUAUAAUGGCAUAAUUAUCAUUGAUUUUUGUGUUUAUUAUAUGCACUUGUACGAUUAACAAUGCGAAAGAUUCAGGAUACCUUCGGGACCCGUCUUGAAACACGGACCAAGGAGUCUAACAUAUGUGCAAGUUAUUGGGAUAUAAACCUAAUAGCGUAAUUAACUUGACUAAUAAUGGGAUUAGUUUUUAACUAUUUAUAGCUAAUUAACACAAUCCCGGGCGUUCUAUAUAGUUAUGUAUAAUAAUAUUUAUAUUAUUUAUGCCUCUAACUGGAACGUACCUUGAGCAGAUAUGCUGUGACCCGAAAGAUGGUGAACUAUACUUGAUCAGGUUGAAGUCAGGGGAAACCCUGAUGGAAGACCGAAACAGUUCUGACGUGCAAAUCGAUUGUCAGAAUUGAGUAUAGGGGCGAAAGACCAAUCGAACCAUCUAGUAGCUGGUUCCUUCCGAAGUUUCCCUCAGGAUAGCUGGUGCAUUUUAAUGUUAUAUAAAAUAAUCUUAUCUGGUAAAGCGAAUGAUUAGAGGCCUUAGGGUCGAAACGAUCUUAACCUAUUCUCAAACUUUAAAUGGGUAAGAACCUUAACUUUCUUGAUAUGAAGUUUAAGGUUAUGAUAUAAUGUGCCCAGUGGGCCACUUUUGGUAAGCAGAACUGGCGCUGUGGGAUGAACCAAACGUAAUGUUACGGUGCCCAAAUUAACAACUCAUGCAGAUACCAUGAAAGGCGUUGGUUGCUUAAAACAGCAGGACGGUGAUCAUGGAAGUCGAAAUCCGCUAAGGAGUGUGUAACAACUCACCUGCCGAAGCAACUAGCCCUUAAAAUGGAUGGCGCUUAAGUUGUAUACCUAUACAUUACCGCUAAAGUAGAUGAUUUAUAUUACUUGUAAUAUAAAUUUUGAAACUUUAGUGAGUAGGAAGGUACAAUGGUAUGCGUAGAAGUGUUUGGCGUAAGCCUGCAUGGAGCUGCCAUUGGUACAGAUCUUGGUGGUAGUAGCAAAUAAUCGAAUGAGACCUUGGAGGACUGAAGUGGAGAAGGGUUUCGUGUGAACAGUGGUUGAUCACGAGUUAGUCGGUCCUAAGUUCAAGGCGAAAGCCGAAAAUUUUCAAGUAAUAAAAUGACUAUAUAUUACAAAAAUGCCAAUUAAUAUACUUGAAUAAUUUUGAACGAAAGGGAAUACGGUUCCAAUUCCGUAACCUGUUGAGUAUCCGUUUGUUAUUAAAUAUGGGCCUCGUGCUCAUCCUGGCAACAGGAACGACCAUAAAGAAGCCGUCGAGAGAUAUCGGAAGAGUUUUCUUUUCUGUUUUAUAGCCGUACUACCAUGGAAGUCUUUCGCAGAGAGAUAUGGUAGAUGGGCUAGAAGAGCAUGACAUAUACUGUUGUGUCGAUAUUUUUCCUCGGACCUUGAAAAUUUAUGGUGGGGAUACGCAAACUCUCAACAGGCCGUACCAAUAUCCGCAGCUGGUCUCCAAGGUGAAGAGUCUCUAGUCGAUAGAAUAAUGUAGGUAAGGGAAGUCGGCAAAUUAGAUCCGUAACUUCGGGAUAAGGAUUGGCUCUGAAGAUUGAGAUAGUCGGGCUUGAUUGGGAAACAAUACAUGGUUUAUGUGCUCGUUCUGGGUAAAUAGAGUUUCUAUCAUUUAUGUUAGUUUGCUUGUUC
Molecule: ribosomal RNA, 2882 nt
Filed under: Drosophila serrata
Lineage: Eukaryota; Metazoa; Arthropoda; Insecta; Diptera; Drosophilidae
Description: eukaryotic LSU rRNA
Rfam family: Eukaryotic large subunit ribosomal RNA (bases 553-2882)
Source: RNAcentral